RNAcentral lists this ribosomal RNA (560 nucleotides) under fungal endophyte. RNAcentral describes it as "eukaryotic LSU rRNA". The stretch from base 172 to 325 matches the Rfam family "5.8S ribosomal RNA". The record is from RNAcentral. Lineage: Eukaryota; Fungi.
UUCUAUAACUCCCAAACCCAUGUGAACAUACCUAACGUUGCCUCGGCAGGUCGCACCUACCUUGUAGCACCCUACCCUGUAGGGCCUACCCGGGAGGUGCGGGUAAGCCUGCCGGCGGCCCACCAAACUCUGUUUGAUAUUGAAUUCUGAACCUAUAACUAAAUAAGUUAAAACUUUCAACAACGGAUCUCUUGGUUCUGGCAUCGAUGAAGAACGCAGCGAAAUGCGAUAAGUAAUGUGAAUUGCAGAAUUCAGUGAAUCAUCGAAUCUUUGAACGCAUAUUGCGCCCAUUAGUAUUCUAGUGGGCAGGACCGUUCGAGCGUCAUUUCAACCCUUAAGCCUUCGUUGCUUAGUGUUGGGAGCCUACGGCAACGUAGCUCCUCAAAGUUAGUGGCGGAGUUGGUUCACACUCUAGACGUAGUAAUUUUUUAUCUCGCCUAUUAGUUGGACUAAUCCCCUGCCGUAAAACCCCCAAUUUAUAUCAAGGUUGACCUCGAAUCGGUUCAGACAAACUCGCUAAAUUGAAGCAUCUUAGUCAGCGAAGGAAAAGAAACCAACAG